This 434-nucleotide ribosomal RNA is filed under the name uncultured bacterium. Its description in RNAcentral is "bacterial SSU rRNA". It matches the Rfam family "Bacterial small subunit ribosomal RNA", at positions 854 to 1290 of the family's 1533-position model. The record is from RNAcentral.
AACGCAAUAAGUAUCCCGCCUGGGGAGUACGGUCGCAAGACUGAAACUCAAAGGAAUUGACGGGGACCCGCACAAGCAGCGGAGCAUGUGGUUUAAUUCGAAGCAACGCGAAGAACCUUACCAAGGCUUGACAUCCCUUGACCGCCAUGGAAACAUGGCUUCCCUUCGGGGCAAGGAGACAGGUGGUGCAUGGUUGUCGUCAGCUCGUGUCGUGAGAUGUUGGGUUAAGUCCCGCAACGAGCGCAACCCUUAUCAUUAGUUGCCAGCACUUCGGGUGGGAACUCUAAUGAGACUGCCGGGGAUAACUCGGAGGAAGGUGGGGACGACGUCAAAUCAUCAUGCCCCUUAUGUCUUGGGCUACACACGUGCUACAAUGGCCGGUACAGAGGGCUGCAAACCCGUGAGGGGGAGCGAAUCCCAAAAAGCCGGUCUCA